This 1489-nucleotide ribosomal RNA is filed under the name Lactiplantibacillus plantarum. RNAcentral describes it as "bacterial SSU rRNA". It matches the Rfam family "Bacterial small subunit ribosomal RNA". The record is from RNAcentral. Lineage: Bacteria; Bacillati; Bacillota; Bacilli; Lactobacillales; Lactobacillaceae.
GACGAACGCUGGCGGCGUGCCUAAUACAUGCAAGUCGAACGAACUCUGGUAUUGAUUGGUGCUUGCAUCAUGAUUUACAUUUGAGUGAGUGGCGAACUGGUGAGUAACACGUGGGAAACCUGCCCAGAAGCGGGGGAUAACACCUGGAAACAGAUGCUAAUACCGCAUAACAACUUGGACCGCAUGGUCCGAGUUUGAAAGAUGGCUUCGGCUAUCACUUUUGGAUGGUCCCGCGGCGUAUUAGCUAGAUGGUGGGGUAACGGCUCACCAUGGCAAUGAUACGUAGCCGACCUGAGAGGGUAAUCGGCCACAUUGGGACUGAGACACGGCCCAAACUCCUACGGGAGGCAGCAGUAGGGAAUCUUCCACAAUGGACGAAAGUCUGAUGGAGCAACGCCGCGUGAGUGAAGAAGGGUUUCGGCUCGUAAAACUCUGUUGUUAAAGAAGAACAUAUCUGAGAGUAACUGUUCAGGUAUUGACGGUAUUUAACCAGAAAGCCACGGCUAACUACGUGCCAGCAGCCGCGGUAAUACGUAGGUGGCAAGCGUUGUCCGGAUUUAUUGGGCGUAAAGCGAGCGCAGGCGGUUUUUUAAGUCUGAUGUGAAAGCCUUCGGCUCAACCGAAGAAGUGCAUCGGAAACUGGGAAACUUGAGUGCAGAAGAGGACAGUGGAACUCCAUGUGUAGCGGUGAAAUGCGUAGAUAUAUGGAAGAACACCAGUGGCGAAGGCGGCUGUCUGGUCUGUAACUGACGCUGAGGCUCGAAAGUAUGGGUAGCAAACAGGAUUAGAUACCCUGGUAGUCCAUACCGUAAACGAUGAAUGCUAAGUGUUGGAGGGUUUCCGCCCUUCAGUGCUGCAGCUAACGCAUUAGGCAUUCCGCCUGGGGAGUACGGCCGCAAGGCUGAAACUCAAAGGAAUUGACGGGGGCCCGCACAAGCGGUGGAGCAUGUGGUUUAAUUCGAAGCUACGCGAAGAACCUUACCAGGUCUUGACAUACUAUGCAAAUCUAAGAGAUUAGACGUUCCCUUCGGGGACAUGGAUACAGGUGGUGCAUGGUUGUCGUCAGCUCGUGUCGUGAGAUGUUGGGUUAAGUCCCGCAACGAGCGCAACCCUUAUUAUCAGUUGCCAGCAUUAAGUUGGGCACUCUGGUGAGACUGCCGGUGACAAACCGGAGGAAGGUGGGGAUGACGUCAAAUCAUCAUGCCCCUUAUGACCUGGGCUACACACGUGCUACAAUGGAUGGUACAACGAGUUGCGAACUCGCGAGAGUAAGCUAAUCUCUUAAAGCCAUUCUCAGUUCGGAUUGUAGGCUGCAACUCGCCUACAUGAAGUCGGAAUCGCUAGUAAUCGCGGAUCAGCAUGCCGCGGUGAAUACGUUCCCGGGCCUUGUACACACCGCCCGUCACACCAUGAGAGUUUGUAACACCCAAAGUCGGUGGGGUAACCUUUUAGGAACCAGCCGCCUAAGGUGGGACAGAUGAUUAGGGUG